Molecule: ribosomal RNA, 253 nt
Filed under: uncultured bacterium
Lineage: Bacteria
Description: partial 16S ribosomal RNA
Rfam family: Bacterial small subunit ribosomal RNA
Source: RNAcentral
UACGUAGGGGGCAAGCGUUGUCCGGAUUUAUUGGGCGUAAAGAGCUCGUAGGCGGCUCGUCGCGUCGACCGUGAAAACCCGCGGCUUAACUGCGGGCUUGCGGUUGAUACGGGCGGGCUAGAGUUCGGUAGGGGAGACUGGAAUUCCCGGUGUAGCGGUGAAAUGCGCAGAUAUCAGGAAGAACACCAAUGGCGAAAGCAGCUCUCUGGGACGGUACUGACGCUGAGACGCGAAAGCGUGGGGAGCGAACAGG